GAAUUUUGGACAAUGGGGGCAACCCUGAUCCAGCCAUCCCGCGUGUGCGAUGAAGGCCUUCGGGUUGUAAAGCACUUUUGGCAGGGAAGAAAAGGCUCUGGCCAAUAACUGGAGCUGCUGACGGUACCUGCAGAAUACGCACCGGCUACAUACGUGCCAGCAGACGCGGUAAUACGUAGGGUGCAAGCGUUAAUCGGAAUUACUGGGCGUAAAGCGUGCGCAGGCGGUGUGGCAAGAAGGAUGUGAAAUCCCAGGGCUUAACCUUGGAACUGCAUUCUUAAAUGCCAGGCUAGAGUAUGUCAGAGGGGGGUAGAAUUCCACGUGUAGCAGUGAAAUGCGUAGAGAUGUGGAGGAAUACCGAUGGCGAAGGCAGCCCCCUGGGAUAAUACUGACGCUCAUGCACGAAAGCGUGGGGAGCAAACA
Molecule: ribosomal RNA, 423 nt
Filed under: uncultured bacterium
Lineage: Bacteria
Description: partial 16S ribosomal RNA
Rfam family: Bacterial small subunit ribosomal RNA
Source: RNAcentral